Molecule: ribosomal RNA, 253 nt
Filed under: uncultured bacterium
Lineage: Bacteria
Description: partial 16S ribosomal RNA
Rfam family: Bacterial small subunit ribosomal RNA
Source: RNAcentral
UACGGAGGGUGCAAACGUUGCUCGGAAUCAUUGGGCGUAAAGCGUACGUAGGCGGCUUCUUAAGUCGGGUGUGAAAGCCCUCGGCUCAACCGAGGAAGUGCAUUCGAAACUGGGGGGCUUGAAUACUGGAGAGGAUGGCGGAAUUCCCGGUGUAGAGGUGAAAUUCGUAGAUAUCGGGAGGAACACCAGCGGCGAAGGCGGCCAUCUGGACAGAUAUUGACGCUGAGGUGCGAAAGCGUGGGGAGCAAACAGG